GGCAAGGGUCCCGUCCGGAGGGGGUUGAAUGGGGGCCGGGCAGGCAGUGUCGGGAGCCUGGUGCAUUGCUGAGGGAGAGCUCAGUCCAGGGCUAGGCACUCCAGACUCUUGGGCCAGGGCAGGAUGGCUGCACCUGACCUUCUGGGUCGUGCCCCAGAGGAACAGCCCAGCCGAAGGGCCAAGGAUGAGCUCCGAAGGAGGAGAUUUAUUAAUUUCAGCGAGGAGAAGCAAAGGGAGAGAGAGAGAGAGAGAAUCCUCAAGCAGACUCCUCUCUGAGCAUGGAGCCAGACACAGGACUUGAUCCCAGGACCCUGAGAUCACGAGCCGAGCAGAAAUCAAGAGUCGGUUCGAGCCCCCCAGGCGCUCCACAGGAGGACUUCACGGAGGGCAUGCAGUAAUGGAGAGAAGCGUGGGCACAAUGGGGCAGGCAGCCAGACCCGGGAGUCUGAAGUCCAGGUCCCAGCUGGGGACACACAUUUGGCUGUCAUUGGCUUGUGGACCCAUGAGCUACGAUGAGAUCACUCUGGGAAAGAGUGUCGACAAACAGCCGCGGUGUUCCAGGAGUCAGAGAAUUCCGAAUCCCAACUCUUCAUUAAGAAGAUCGACUUCUAAAAAAAAAGAAGAAGAAGAAGAUCGACUUCUCUGUCUCUGUCUUCUCUGCACUGGGAGCAGCUCUCGUGCCACAGCCCCUCAUCCACUGAAGUGGACGCCUGUGCAAAGCGUGUCUCCACCCCCUUCUUGGGCAGGAGUGCCUCUCAGCUGUCCAUCACUGUCUGCAGCAGAGCUAAAACCACCAGAGUCACUGACAGAUGAGAGCCUAGCUGCUUGGCAGCCCCACGUCCCCUGACCUCACUUAUUCCCAGCGCAGCUUCCCACCCAGAGCUAUUUCAAGGGACACGGACACAGCAGCCAAGUUCACUGGGGCUGGGGCUGGGGCUGCCGCAGGAGGGGCGGCUGGUUCUGGGGCUGCAUCGCGACUGGGUUUGGGGGCCUCAUCACUGGUGAUGCCAGGAGCCCCUCUCUGAAGCCACAGCUCUCCUCCUACCCCUGGGCUUUGCCCUCUCGGAGGCCAUGGGGCUCUUGUGCCUGAUGCUGGCUGUUCCCCUCCUUGUUGCCGUGGGAAGGAGCCGUGUCCACUUCCCACAGGUCUCGACUGCCCUGUAUGUUCUUUCUCCUACACCUCUCCGGGCAGCCUGGGGAAAGUGGUUGGCUCAAGGUUUGGCAGAGGGAAGACAAAUAAAUACUGGAUUGAA
This is a long non-coding RNA of Canis lupus familiaris (dog), 1253 nucleotides long. RefSeq lists it as uncharacterized. NCBI's taxonomy places the organism in Eukaryota, Metazoa, Chordata, Mammalia, Carnivora, Canidae. The transcript has 5 exons. The record is from RefSeq and is a predicted model, not a curated record.